This 468-nucleotide ribosomal RNA is filed under the name uncultured bacterium. RNAcentral describes it as "partial 16S ribosomal RNA". It matches the Rfam family "Bacterial small subunit ribosomal RNA", at positions 28 to 507 of the family's 1533-position model. The record is from RNAcentral.
GACGAACGCUGGCGGCGUGCUUAACACAUGCAAGUCGAACGGAAAGGCCCUGCUUUUGUGUGGUGCUCGAGUGGCGAACGGGUGAGUAACACGUGAGUAACCUUCCCUUUACUUUGGGAUAACUUCAGGAAACUGGGGCUACUACCGGAUAGGAGCUCCUGCUGCAUGGUGGGGGUUGGAAAUUUUCGGCGGUUGGGGAUGGACUCGCGGCUUAUCAGCUUGUUGGUGGGGUAGUGGCUUACCAAGGCUUUGACGGGUAGCCGGCCUGAGAGGGUGACCGGCCACAUUGGGACUGAGAUACGGCCCAGACUCCUACGGGAGGCAGCAGUGGGGAAUAUUGCACAAUGGGCGGAAGCCUGAUGCAGAAACGCCGCGUGCGGGAUGACGGCCUUCGGGUUGUAAACCGCUUUCGCCUGUGACGAAGCGUGAGUGACGGUAAUGGGUAAAGAAGCACCGGCUAACUACGUG